This is an unclassified non-coding RNA of Erinaceus europaeus (western European hedgehog), 309 nucleotides long. Its record names the gene 7SK. It matches the Rfam family "7SK RNA". Rfam says of the family: 7SK was discovered as an abundant small nuclear RNA in the mid-70s but a possible function has only recently been suggested. Two independent studies have found that 7SK RNA binds the CDK9/cyclin T complex (known as elongation factor P-TEFb). The record is from Ensembl. NCBI's taxonomy places the organism in Eukaryota, Metazoa, Chordata, Mammalia, Eulipotyphla, Erinaceidae.
GAAUGUGAGGGCGAUCUGGCUGUGACAUCUGUCACCCUAUUGAUGACCAGGGUUGAUUCAGCUGAUCUGGCUGGCUAGGUGGGUGUCCCCUUCCUCCCUCACCACUCCAUGUGUUUCCCUCCCAAAGCUGUGUGCUCAGUUGAAGAGGAUGGCCUUCUUCAAUAGAGAUGGACCCGUCUUCAGUUGAGGGCAUACGAGUAGCUGUGUACUCCUGCUAGAACCUCUGAACAAGUUCUCCCAUUCGUAUUUGCAUGUCCUUUGAACAAAUGGCCAAGACCGGUCUUGCUGGGUCAUAAGGUACUUCCAUUU